UACGUCCCGGGCCUCGUACACACCGCCCGUCACACCACGAAAGUCGGCAAUACCCGAAGCCGGUGGCCUAACCCGUAAGGGAGGGAGCCGUCGAAGGUAGGGUCGAUGAUUGGGGUG
RNAcentral lists this ribosomal RNA (117 nucleotides) under uncultured bacterium. RNAcentral describes it as "partial 16S ribosomal RNA". It matches the Rfam family "Bacterial small subunit ribosomal RNA", at positions 1367 to 1482 of the family's 1533-position model. The record is from RNAcentral.